Molecule: ribosomal RNA, 253 nt
Filed under: uncultured bacterium
Lineage: Bacteria
Description: partial 16S ribosomal RNA
Rfam family: Bacterial small subunit ribosomal RNA
Source: RNAcentral
UACGAAGGGGGCUAGCGUUGUUCGGAUUUACUGGGCGUAAAGCGCACGUAGGCGGAUUGCUAAGUCAGGGGUGAAAUCCUGGAGCUCAACUCCAGAACUGCCUUUGAUACUGGCGAUCUCGAGUCCGGGAGAGGUGAGUGGAACUGCGAGUGUAGAGGUGAAAUUCGUAGAUAUUCGCAAGAACACCAGUGGCGAAGGCGGCUCACUGGCCCGGUACUGACGCUGAGGUGCGAAAGCGCGGGGAGCAAACAGG